This 492-nucleotide ribosomal RNA is filed under the name uncultured bacterium. RNAcentral describes it as "partial 16S ribosomal RNA". It matches the Rfam family "Bacterial small subunit ribosomal RNA", at positions 29 to 507 of the family's 1533-position model. The record is from RNAcentral.
AGUGAACGCUGGCGGUAGGCCUAACACAUGCAAGUCGAACGGCAGCACAGUAAGAGCUUGCUCUUACGGGUGGCGAGUGGCGGACGGGUGAGGAAUACAUCGGAAUCUACUUUUUCGUGGGGGAUAACGUAGGGAAACUUACGCUAAUACCGCAUACGACCUACGGGUGAAAGCAGGGGAUCUUCGGACCUUGCGCGAUUGAAUGAGCCGAUGUCGGGUUAGCUAGUUGGCGGGGUAAAGGCCCACCAAGGCGACGAUCCGUAGCUGGUCUGAGAGGAUGAACAGCCCAACUUGAACUGGGGAACGGUCCAGACUCCUAAGGGAGGCAGCAGUGGGGAAUAUUGGGCAAUGGGGGGAAGGCUGAUCCAGCCAAACCGCGUGGGUGAAGAAAGCCUUCGGGUUGUAAAGCCCUUUUGUUGGGAAAGAAAAGCAGCAGGUUAAUACCCCGCUGUUCUGACGGUACCCAAAGAAUAAGCACCGGCUAACUUCGUG